CGGAUUGUAGCUCAGCCUGGUAGAGCACUGCCUUCGGGAGGCAGGGGUCGGAGGUUCGAAUCCUCUCACUCCGACCA
RNAcentral lists this transfer RNA (77 nucleotides) under Paracoccaceae bacterium. RNAcentral's name for it is "Rhodobacteraceae bacterium (hydrothermal vent metagenome) tRNA-Pro". It matches the Rfam family "tRNA". Rfam says of the family: Transfer RNA (tRNA) molecules are approximately 80 nucleotides in length. Lineage: Bacteria; Pseudomonadati; Pseudomonadota; Alphaproteobacteria; Rhodobacterales; Paracoccaceae. The record is from RNAcentral.